CUCUCACCCUAUUGUGCCUAGGUGUUGCAAACCACUGGAGGACAGAGUUUCACGCUUUGAUCUCAUGUCUCGGUCAUUCUUUAGCACAGAGGGAAAUAAAAUACAUGGAUCUAACAGGACAAAGCUUAAAAAAAAGUUAUGCCCUUUUCUGAAUGACGUCACACUUGAUUGCAAAAUGAAGCAAAUGAUAUGGGCCAAUGAAGAACAUUCUGGGGAAAGAGCACUGGCUCUAGAAGCAGAAACUCCCUUCAUGCCUUUGCACCCACCAUACAGUUCCCUAAAGUGGGACCUACAAAUUGGUUUCCUUUUAU
This is a long non-coding RNA of Pteropus alecto (black flying fox), 311 nucleotides long. RefSeq lists it as uncharacterized. NCBI's taxonomy places the organism in Eukaryota, Metazoa, Chordata, Mammalia, Chiroptera, Pteropodidae. The transcript has 3 exons. The record is from RefSeq and is a predicted model, not a curated record.